This 441-nucleotide ribosomal RNA is filed under the name uncultured bacterium. RNAcentral's name for it is "partial 16S ribosomal RNA". It matches the Rfam family "Bacterial small subunit ribosomal RNA", at positions 338 to 795 of the family's 1533-position model. The record is from RNAcentral.
CCUACGGGAGGCAGCAGUGGGGAAUAUUGCACAAUGGGGGAAACCCUGAUGCAGCAACGCCGCGUGAGUGAAGAAGUCUUUCGGUAUGUAAAGCUCUAUCAGCAGGGAGGAAGACAGACGGUACCUGACUAAGAAGCCUCGGCUAACUACGUGCCAGCAGCAGCGGUAAUACGGAGGGGGCAAGCGUGAACCGGAUUUACUGGGUGUAAGGGGAGCGUAGACGGCUGGGCAAGUCUGAAGUGAAAGCCCGGGGCUCAACCGGGGAACUGCAUUGGAAACUGGAUGGCUUGAGUACUGGAGAGGCAGGCGGAAUUCCUCGUGUAGCGGUGAAAUGCGUAGAUAUGAGGAGGAACACCAGUGGCGAAGGCAGCCUGCUGGACAGAAACUGACGUUGAGGCUCGAAAGCGUGGGGAGCAAACAGGAUUAGAUACCCGAGUAGUC